This 497-nucleotide ribosomal RNA is filed under the name uncultured bacterium. Its description in RNAcentral is "bacterial SSU rRNA". It matches the Rfam family "Bacterial small subunit ribosomal RNA", at positions 427 to 916 of the family's 1533-position model. The record is from RNAcentral.
AAAGCACUUUUGUCCGGAAAGAAAACCUCUUGGUUAAUACCUGAGGGGGAUGACGGUACCGGAAGAAUAAGCACCGGCUAACUACGUGCCAGCAGCCGCGGUAAUACGUAGGGUGCGAGCGUUAAUCGGAAUUACUGGGCGUAAAGCGUGCGCAGGCGGUCUGUUAAGACCGAUGUGAAAUCCCCGGGCUUAACCUGGGAACUGCAUUGGUGACUGGCAGGCUUUGAGUGUGGCAGAGGGAGGUAGAAUUCCACGUGUAGCAGUGAAAUGCGUAGAGAUGUGGAGGAAUACCGAUGGCGAAGGCAGCCUCCUGGGCCAACACUGACGCUCAUGCACGAAAGCGUGGGGAGCAAACAGGAUUAGAUACCCUGGUAGUCCACGCCCUAAACGAUGUCAACUAGUUGUUGGGGAUUCAUUUCCUUAGUAACGUAGCUAACGCGUGAAGUUGACCGCCUGGGGAGUACGGUCGCAAGAUUAAAACUCAAAGGAAUUGACGG